AUUUCGCCCUUAGAGUUUGAUGGUGGCUCAGGAUGAACGCUAGCGGGAGGCUUAACACAUGCAAGUCGAGGGGCAGCAUUACCUUCGGGUAGAUGGCGACCGGCGGACGGGUGCGUAACGCGUAUGCAACCUGCCUUGUACAGGGGGAUAGCCCAUGGAAACGUGGAUUAAUACCCCAUAGGAUUAAAAAUCUGCAUGGAUUUUUAAUUAAAACUUCGGUGGUACAAGAUGGGCAUGCGUAUGAUUAGGUAGUUGGUGGGGUAACGGCCCACCAAGCCGACGAUCAUUAGGGGUUCUGAGAGGAUUAUCCCCCACACUGGUACUGAGACACGGACCAGACUCCUACGGGAGGCAGCAGUGAGGAAUAUUGGUCAAUGGGCGCGAGCCUGAACCAGCCAUCCCGCGUGCAGGAUGACGGCCCUAUGGGUUGUAAACUGCUUUUCUAUACCAAGAAUAGUCAUUACGAGUAGUGAUUUGCCGGUAGUAUAGGAAUAAGCAUCGGCUAACUCCGUGCCAGCAGCCGCGGUAAUACGGAGGAUGCAAGCGUUAUCCGGAUUCAUUGGGUUUAAAGGGUGCGCAGGCGGGUUUGUAAGUCAGUGGUGAAAUACUGCCGCUUAACGGUAGAACUGCCAUUGAUACUGCGAAUCUUGAGUAUGGUUGAGGUAGGCGGAAUGUGUUGUGUAGCGGUGAAAUGCAUAGAUAUGACACAGAACGCCGAUUGCGAAGGCAGCUUACUAAGCCAUUACUGACGCUGA
Molecule: ribosomal RNA, 755 nt
Filed under: uncultured bacterium
Lineage: Bacteria
Description: bacterial SSU rRNA
Rfam family: Bacterial small subunit ribosomal RNA
Source: RNAcentral